AUUGAACGCUGGCGGAAUGCUUAACACAUGCAAGUCGAGCGGUAACAGGUGUAGCAAUACAUGCUGACGAGCGGCGAACGGGUGAGUAAUGCUUCGGAAUCUGCCCAGUAGUGGGGAAUAACGUAGGGAAGCUUACGCUAAUACCGCAUACGAACUACGGUUGAAAGCAGGGGAUCGCAAGACCUUGCGCUAUUGGAUGAGCCGAAGUCGGAUUAGCUAGUUGGUGAGGUAAAGGCUCACCAAGGCGACGAUCCGUAGCUGGUCUGAGAGGACGACCAGCCACACUGGAACUGAGACACGGUCCAGACUCCUACGGGAGGCAGCAGUGGGGAAUAUUGGACAAUGGGGGAAACCCUGAUCCAGCGACGCCGCGUGUGUGAAGAAGGCCUGCGGGUUGUAAAGCACUUUUAGUGGGGACAAAAAGCCAAAGGCUAAUACCUUUUGGUCUUGAUUUAACCCAAAGAAAAAGCACCGGCUAACUCUGUGCCAGCCGCCGCAGUAA
RNAcentral lists this ribosomal RNA (502 nucleotides) under uncultured bacterium. RNAcentral describes it as "partial 16S ribosomal RNA". It matches the Rfam family "Bacterial small subunit ribosomal RNA", at positions 30 to 523 of the family's 1533-position model. The record is from RNAcentral.